Long non-coding RNA from Theobroma cacao (cacao), 718 nucleotides. RefSeq lists it as uncharacterized. Lineage: Eukaryota; Viridiplantae; Streptophyta; Magnoliopsida; Malvales; Malvaceae. The record is from RefSeq and is a predicted model, not a curated record.
CGCAUGUGUGGCUAAAAUGGAUGUUAUGUUUUUCUUUCUUCUAUUUAGACUCAUUUUUCCCUUUCUUCCUGUAUAGAGUCUUUUUCUUCUUAUCUUUUUUCUUUUAUGGGACAGCACGGGGUAGCCUCCAGCACUAUUUCUUUCUUUGUUAUGCUAGCACAAGUUCCAAGUUCCAGCUUCUGUUUGGGUGACUUUCAGUUAUUUUAGGAGCACAGAUAUUUUAAGAGCAUGGCAUCUUCAAAUUCAACCAAUUCCUAGGAUUAGCUACAAUUGUUGAAUGACAAAGUAUUAAGGAGUAAUGUAUUGAAUAGUACUAUUGCUUUAGAUUUCGUUUUAUAAAGGUUGUGAGGAAAAGGGGCAAACACACUUCCAAGGUAUAAAUGUCUAUGUUUCUUACUUCUGUGUUAUAGUUGUUCUAUAUAAAAUUGUUUGUCAAGAAGAAUGAGAUUUGCUUCAUAUGAUGAGCUUAUUUUAUGGAAUUUGUUCUGAGAACGAAGCAGAUGUUAGAACAAAAAGAAAGGUAGGGACAUCGAAGUUGGAACAAAUGAAUCAUAGAAGAUGAUUUUUUUUUUUGUGAAGUUACUUCCUUUAGCAAUUGUGGAAAGGUGUUCUUUGUCUUAUUUGUGUGGAUGAGAAUCAUACAACUAUAGCUCGCUAUUUAACUGCUUAUAAUGUCUUAUAAUGCUAAGGCAAUAAGGCUUACAACAUGUCUUUUUUU